RNAcentral lists this ribosomal RNA (258 nucleotides) under Vibrio parahaemolyticus. RNAcentral describes it as "partial 23S ribosomal RNA". It matches the Rfam family "Bacterial large subunit ribosomal RNA", at positions 1628 to 1870 of the family's 2925-position model. Lineage: Bacteria; Pseudomonadati; Pseudomonadota; Gammaproteobacteria; Vibrionales; Vibrionaceae. The record is from RNAcentral.
CAGAUUGUAAGGAAUCGUACCCCAAACCGACACAGGUGGUCGGGUAGAGAAUACCAAGGCGCUUGAGAGAACUCGGGUGAAGGAACUAGGCAAAAUGGUACCGUAACUUCGGGAGAAGGUACGCUCUUGAUGGUGAAGUCCCUCGCGGAUGGAGCUGACGAGAGUCGCAGAUACCAGGUGGCUGCAACUGUUUAUUAAAAACACAGCACUGUGCAAAAUCGUAAGAUGACGUAUACGGUGUGACGCCUGCCCGGUGCC